GCGGACGGGUGAGUAACGCGUAAGAACCUGCCCUUGGGAGGGGAACAACAGCUGGAAACGGCUGCUAAUACCCCAUAGGCUGAGGAGCAAAAGGAGGAAUCCGCCCAAGGAGGGGCUCGCGUCUGAUUAGUUAGUUGGUGAGGCAAUGGCUUACCAAGGCGACGAUCAGUAGCUGGUCCGAGAGGAUGAUCAGCCACACUGGGACUGAGACACGGCCCAGACUCCUACGGGAGGCAGCAGUGGGGAAUUUUCCGCAAUGGGCGAAAGCCUGACGGAGCAAUGCCGCGUGAAGGCAGAAGGCCCACGGGUCAUGAACUUCUUUUCUCGGAGAAGAAAAAAUGACGGUAUCUGAGGAAUAAGCAUCGGCUAACUCUGUGCCAGCAGCCGCGGUAAGACAGAGGAUGCAAGCGUUAUCCGGAAUGAUUGGGCGUAAAGCGUCUGUAGGUGGCUUUUCAAGUCCGCCGUC
RNAcentral lists this ribosomal RNA (466 nucleotides) under uncultured organism. RNAcentral's name for it is "bacterial SSU rRNA". It matches the Rfam family "Bacterial small subunit ribosomal RNA", at positions 98 to 596 of the family's 1533-position model. The record is from RNAcentral.